UACGGGGGGGGCAAGCGUUGUUCGGAAUUACUGGGCGUAAAGGGCUCGUAGGCGGCCAACUAAGUCAGACGUGAAAUCCCUCGGCUUAACCGGGGAACUGCGUCUGAUACUGGAUGGCUUGAAUCCGGGAGAGGGAUGCGGAAUUCCAGGUGUAGCGGUGAAAUGCGUAGAUAUCUGGAGGAACACCAAUUGCGAAGGCAGCUCGCUGGGACGUGACUGACGCUGAGACGCGAAAGCGUGGGGAGCAAACAGG
Molecule: ribosomal RNA, 253 nt
Filed under: uncultured bacterium
Lineage: Bacteria
Description: partial 16S ribosomal RNA
Rfam family: Bacterial small subunit ribosomal RNA
Source: RNAcentral